UGGUUUGUCGCGUUGUUCGUGAAAUCUCACGGCUUAACUGUGAGCGUGCGGGCGAUACGGGCAGACUUGAGUACUGCAGGGGAGACUGGAAUUCCUGGUGUAGCGGUGGAAUGCGCAGAUAUCAGGAGGAACACCGGUGGCGAAGGCGGGUCUCUGGGCAGUAACUGACGCUGAGGAGCGAAAGCGUGGGGAGCGAACGGGAUUAGAUACCCUGGUAGUCCACGCCGUAAACGGUGGGUACUAGGUGUGGGUUUCCUUCCUUGGGAUCCGUGCCGUAGCUAACGCAUUAAGUACCCCGCCUGGGGAGUACGGCCGCAAGGCUAAAACUCAAAGAAAUUGACGGGGGCCCGCACAAGCGGCGGAGCAUGUGGAUUAAUUCGAUGCAACGCGAAGAACCUUACCUGGGUUUGACAUGCACAGGACGCCGGCAGAGAUGUCGGUUCCCCUGUGGCCUGUGUGCAGGUGGUGCAUGGCUGUCGUCAGCUCGUGUCGUGAGAUGUUGGGUUAAGUCCCGCAACGAGCGCAACCCUUGUCUCAUGUUGCCAGCGGGUAAUGCCGGGGACUCGUGAGAGACUGCCGGGGUCAACUCGGAGGAAGGUGGGGAUGACGUCAAGUCAUCAUGCCCCUUAUGUCCAGGGCUUCACACAUGCUACAAUGGCCGGUACAAAGGGCUGCGAUGCCGCGAGGUUAAGCGAAUCCUUUUAAAGCCGGUCUCAGUUCGGAUCGGGGUCUGCAACUCGACCCCGUGAAGUCGGAGUC
This 759-nucleotide ribosomal RNA is filed under the name uncultured bacterium. RNAcentral describes it as "bacterial SSU rRNA". It matches the Rfam family "Bacterial small subunit ribosomal RNA", at positions 576 to 1333 of the family's 1533-position model. The record is from RNAcentral.